GACGAACGCUGGCGGCGUGCUUAACACAUGCAAGUCGAACGGAAAGGCCCUGCUUUUGUGGGGUGCUCGAGUUGCGAACGGGUGAGUAACACGUGAGUAACCUGUCCUUGACUUUGGGAUAACUUCAGGACACUUGGGCUAAUACCGGAUAGGAUCUCCUGCUGCAUGGUGGGGGUUGGUAAGUUUCGGCGGUUGGGGAUGGACUCGCGGCCUAUCAGAUUGUUGCUGUGGUAGUGGCUUACCAAGGCUUGGAAGGGUAGCAGGCCUGAGAGGAUAAGCGGCCAAGCUGGGACUGAAAUGCGGCCCAGACUACUACGGGAGGGAGGAGUGGAGAAGAUAGCACUAUGGGCGGAGGGCUGGUGCAGCAAAGCCGCGUGGGGGAUGACGGCAAGGGGGUUGUAAUCCAAAUUCGCCUUUGACGAAACGAGAGUGACGGUAAUGGGUAAAGAAGCACCGGCUAACUACGUG
RNAcentral lists this ribosomal RNA (468 nucleotides) under uncultured bacterium. RNAcentral describes it as "partial 16S ribosomal RNA". It matches the Rfam family "Bacterial small subunit ribosomal RNA", at positions 28 to 507 of the family's 1533-position model. The record is from RNAcentral.